RNAcentral lists this long non-coding RNA (1096 nucleotides) under Homo sapiens (human). RNAcentral describes it as "HSALNT0309451". Lineage: Eukaryota; Metazoa; Chordata; Mammalia; Primates; Hominidae. The record is from RNAcentral.
CUUCUCUGCAGACACCAGCCUGGUGUCCUCCUUCAUCCCAGGCUGCCAGGCUAGGCAGGGGACAGCGGCUGCCCUGGUCCUCACAGCCCUGGCUACGGGGCUGGUGACAGCCAGAUCCUCAUGCUUCUGCGACCUGAGCGCUGCCUUCAGACACCUCUCUGCUGGCGUGUUCCUGGGUCCAUGAUGGAAGAAGGAAAAGUAUUUUUAAAAGACAAUCUGAAGCUCAUACUGUGACUGCAACAUAAAAUGUGUUCACCUGAGGAGACUGCUUUCAUCGCCAGUGUGUCACAGCUGACUUCUCUGAGCUGGAUGGCACCCUGGACAUCAACCAGCCCUUCACCUUCACGUCACACAGGAGGGACACUGGUCCAUAGAGAGGAUGCCUGCUCUGGUCACCAGCUGGAGAGUGGCAGACCUUGGGUACCUGACCUUUGGACUCUGCCACACAGAGCACUUCCUCAGUCCCUCCUGCUGCCCCUGGCAGGGUGGAGCUGGCAGGGCAGCUGAUCCAGGACCGUCCACUUCCAAGCCAGCAGGAGGAUGGAAAAGCAGAAUGGAGGGGAAACAACCUCCUUUGCAGGGCGUGACUCGGAAGUUGGACACAUCAUUUCCAGCCACAUUCCAUGGACCAGAAUUAGCCCUGUGACCAACUCUGGCUGCCAGAAAAUCUGGGAAAUACAGUCUCUGCUUGGGCGAUCAGGCAGGCAGUUAUAUCUUUGGGAACAUCUCUCACCCCCUGGGAACACCUGAGCAGAAACUGAAGGACAUUUAACAGAUUCUCCUUUGUGUCUAAUAAGAAUUGCCCCCAUCAGUCGGGGCUGUCCUAGGUGCUGGGUACAUAGGUCAUCUAUACACAACCCAGCAAUGGAGAGCACACCAUUCCCAGGCUGCAGAUGCAGAAACUGUGGCUCGGAGAGUUAAGCGUCUUGUUCAGAUUCAGUCAGCUGGUAGAUGGCAGGUCUGGGAUUGAGACCCAGGCCUGGCUGGUCCUGCCAGGACACAGUAUCACAGCUUUGACUGGGAGCUUCUUUUUGUUUACAUAUAUUUUUUAUGCUCAAUGUGCAUUCCUUUUGAAAUACACAGAAAAGGGAAAGAA